UACGUAGGGUGCGAGCGUUGUCCGGAAUUAUUGGGCGUAAAGGGCUCGUAGGCGGUCUGUCACGUCGGGAGUGAAAACACGGGGCUUAACCCCGUGCCUGCUUCCGAUACGGGCAGACUAGAGGUAUGCAGGGGAGAACGGAAUUCCUGGUGUAGCGGUGAAAUGCGCAGAUAUCAGGAGGGACACCGGUGGCGAAGGCGGGUCUCUGGGCCGUUACUGACGCUGAGGAGCGAAAGCGUGGGGAGCGAACAGG
This 253-nucleotide ribosomal RNA is filed under the name uncultured bacterium. RNAcentral's name for it is "partial 16S ribosomal RNA". It matches the Rfam family "Bacterial small subunit ribosomal RNA", at positions 524 to 776 of the family's 1533-position model. The record is from RNAcentral.